UAUUGGAUUGGUGCAAAAGUAAUUGCGGUUUUUGCCAUGAAAGUAGCAGCAAAAACCUCAAUUGCUUUUGCACCAGCCUAAUA
RNAcentral lists this microRNA precursor (83 nucleotides) under Nomascus leucogenys (northern white-cheeked gibbon). RNAcentral's name for it is "miRNA (ENSNLEG00000033267.1)". The record is from RNAcentral. Lineage: Eukaryota; Metazoa; Chordata; Mammalia; Primates; Hylobatidae.